Non-coding RNA from Mycena rebaudengoi, 90 nucleotides. NCBI's taxonomy places the organism in Eukaryota, Fungi, Basidiomycota, Agaricomycetes, Agaricales, Mycenaceae. The record is from the annotation of a GenBank genome assembly.
GGACCUGUUGGCGCAGUGGCUAGCGCACCCACAAUAACUUUUAAUUCUAUCCAUUAUGUGGGAGGCCCCAGUUCGACUCUGGGAUGUCUG